RNAcentral lists this ribosomal RNA (301 nucleotides) under uncultured bacterium. Its description in RNAcentral is "partial 16S ribosomal RNA". It matches the Rfam family "Bacterial small subunit ribosomal RNA", at positions 509 to 807 of the family's 1533-position model. The record is from RNAcentral.
CAGCCGCCGCGGGAAUACCGAGGGUGCAAGCGUUAAUCGGAAUUACUGGGCGUAAAGCGCGCGUAGGUGGUUUGUUAAGUUGGAUGUGAAAUCCCCGGGCUCAACCUGGGAACUGCAUCCAAAACUGGCAAGCUAGAGUAUGGUAGAGGGUGGUGGAAUUUCCUGUGUAGCGGUGAAAUGCGUAGAUAUAGGAAGGAACACCAGUGGCGAAGGCGACCACCUGGACUGAUACUGACACUGAGGUGCGAAAGCGUGGGGAGCAAACAGGAUUAGAUACCCCAGUAGUCCCUGUCUCUUAUAC